GAUGAACGCUGGCGGCGUGCCUAAUACAUGCAAGUCGAGCGAACGGGCGAGAAGCUUGCUUCUCUGAUGUUAGCGGCGGACGGGUGAGUAACACGUGGAUAACCUACCUAUAAGACUGGGAUAACUUCGGGAAACCGUAGCUAAUACCGGAUAAUAUUUUGAACCGCAUGGUUCAAAAGUGAAAGACGGUCUUGCUGUCACUUAUAGAUGGAUCCGCGCUGCAUUAGCUAGUUGGUAAGGUAACGGCUUACCAAGGCAACGAUGCAUAGCCGACCUGAGAGGGUGAUCGGCCACACUGGAACUGAGACACGGUCCAGACUCCUACGGGAGGCAGCAGUAGGGAAUCUUCCGCAAUGGGCGAAAGCCUGACGGAGCAACGCCGCGUGAGUGAUGAAGGUCUUCGGAUCGUAAAACUCUGUUAUUAGGGAAGAACAUAUGUGUAAGUAACUGUGUACAUCUUGACGGUACCUAAUCAGAAAGCCACGGCUAACUACGUG
RNAcentral lists this ribosomal RNA (497 nucleotides) under uncultured bacterium. RNAcentral's name for it is "partial 16S ribosomal RNA". It matches the Rfam family "Bacterial small subunit ribosomal RNA", at positions 28 to 507 of the family's 1533-position model. The record is from RNAcentral.